Molecule: non-coding RNA, 173 nt
Organism: Deltaproteobacteria bacterium
Lineage: Bacteria; Pseudomonadati; Myxococcota; Myxococcia
Source: Rfam
CGAAUCCCGCCCCGGAAGGGCUAGCCACCACCCACCGGGUAGCGAGUCCUUGGACUGCAGGGGGUAACUCCUGCGGUUAAGCGUAGGACAGCGAGCCGGCAGGCCGUAAGCCGCGAGACUGAAGUGAUUGGGAGCAGCCGGCAAGGCUGCAAAACUUGAGGGGUGUAAGUCCC